CAAAACUUUCGAUAUGCUAGGGAUAAGGAAACUACUUAAUCAGAUUAAUAUUUCAAAUUUAUUUCACUGUUAAACAGUAAAAAUGGGCAUCCCCAAUCCACAAGACUCCCUGCUUUACAAGGGUCAGUGGAGGAUCAUCUGUCCUAUGCUGCUUUUCCCCUACUUUAUGAAAAUAAAAUGGCGUUUGAUGACUCAAAUCUGUGACCUUCCAAUCACAAAAGAGCAAUCUUACCAUUGCAUCAAAGCAUUGUUAUGUGAUAUAAAUUAUAACAAUUAAUCCAUAAAGACUUAGGAUUUUUU
RNAcentral lists this unclassified non-coding RNA (300 nucleotides) under Hevea brasiliensis (rubber tree). Lineage: Eukaryota; Viridiplantae; Streptophyta; Magnoliopsida; Malpighiales; Euphorbiaceae. The record is from RNAcentral.